Molecule: ribosomal RNA, 458 nt
Filed under: uncultured bacterium
Lineage: Bacteria
Description: partial 16S ribosomal RNA
Rfam family: Bacterial small subunit ribosomal RNA
Source: RNAcentral
CCUACGGGAGGCAGCAGUGGGGAAUAUUGCACAAUGGGGGAAACCCUGAUGCAGCGACGCCGCGUGAGUGAAGAAGUAUUUCGGUAUGUAAAGCUCUAUCAGCAGGGAAGAAAUAGCGACCUUUGGGUCGCCAGACGGUACCUGCUUAAGAAGCCCCGGCUAACUACGUGCCAGCACCCGCGGUAAUACGGAGGGGGCAGGCGUUAUCCGGAUUUACUGGGUGUAUAGGGAGCGUAGACGGCAGCGCAAGUCUGUAGUGAAAUGCCGGGGCUUAACCCCGGAACUGCGUUGGAAACUGUGUAGCGAGAGUGCAGGAGAGGUAAGUGGAAUUCCUAGUGUAGCGGUGAAAUGCGGAGAUAUUAGGAGGAAAACCAGUGGCGAAGGCGGCUUACUGGACUGUAACUGACGUUGAGGCUCGAAAGCGUGGGGAGCAAACAGGAUUAGAUACCCCUGUAGUC